RNAcentral lists this long non-coding RNA (202 nucleotides) under Spirodela polyrhiza (greater duckweed). RNAcentral describes it as "long non-coding RNA (SPOL_LNC002525)". Lineage: Eukaryota; Viridiplantae; Streptophyta; Magnoliopsida; Alismatales; Araceae. The record is from RNAcentral.
UUUUUAAUACCCUUAAAAUCCUAGCAGUAUACACCUAACUUACCCCUUUAUGGCCGUACUUUUAUGUUUCUUCACCAAGUAUAGGUCUCCUUUCUUGAUGUCUGAAUGUCUGAAAUUUUACUGAAUUUUUUUUCAACUGGUUUACCAACCAGUUUUAGGCAGAGCUACAAUAGUAUGCACUGAGCUCGUAAUCACGCAUCCC